UACGUAGGGCGCAAGCGUUGUCCGGAAUUAUUGGGCGUAAAGAGCUCGUAGGCGGUCUGUUACGUCCGCCGUGAAAACCCAGGGCUUAACCCUGGGCUUGCAGUGGAUACGGGUAGACUAGAGGCAGGUAGGGGAGAAUGGAAUUCCCGGUGUAGCGGUGAAAUGCGCAGAUAUCGGGAGGAACACCGGUGGCGAAGGCGGUUCUCUGGGCCUGACCUGACGCUGAGGAGCGAAAGCGUGGGGAGCGAACAGG
Molecule: ribosomal RNA, 253 nt
Filed under: uncultured bacterium
Lineage: Bacteria
Description: partial 16S ribosomal RNA
Rfam family: Bacterial small subunit ribosomal RNA
Source: RNAcentral